Molecule: small nucleolar RNA, 95 nt
Organism: Andrographis paniculata
Lineage: Eukaryota; Viridiplantae; Streptophyta; Magnoliopsida; Lamiales; Acanthaceae
Source: RefSeq, a predicted model, not a curated record
AUGUAGCAAAUGAGGAAUUUCCUAUCAAAAUGGGUAAUUUGCGUCUGAAGUUCAUAUAUGAUGCUAAAUUCACCUUUGGAGAUCUGAUGCUUUUC